UUCCGGUUGAUCCUGCCGGCGGUCACCGCUAUUGGGAUUCGAUUAAGCCAUGCGAGUCGAGAGGGUUCGGCCCUCGGCUGACGGCUCAGUAACACGUGGAUAAUCUGCCCUAUGGUGGAGGAUAAUCUCGGGAAACUGAGAAUAAGACUCCAUAAAUCUAGGAAGCUGGAAUGCUCUUAGGUUGAAAGCUUCGGCGCCAUAGGAUGAGUCUGCGGACUAUCAGGUUGUAGUCAGGGUAAUGACCUGACUAGCCUACGACGGAUACGGGUCGCGAGAGCUCUAGCCCGGAGAUGAUAUCUGAGACACGAUAUCAGGCCCUACGGGGCGCAGCAGGCGCGAAAACUUCGCACUGUGCGAAAGCACGACGAGGGGAUCCCAAGUGUUAGCUCGUAAGAGCUAUCUGUUUCUCUGUCUAAAAAACAGAGAGAGUAAGGGCUGGGUAAGACGGGUGCCAGCCGCCGCGGUAAUACCUGCAGCCCAAGUGGUGGCCGUUAUUAUUGGGUCUAAAACGUCCGUAGCCGGUUUUGUAAAUGCCUAGGUAAAUCGUACGGCUUAACCGUACGAAUUCUGGGUAGACUGCGAAACUUGAAAUCGGGAGAGGCUAGAGGUACUCCUGGGGUAGAGGUGAAAUUCUGUAAUCCUAGGGGGACCACCAGUGGCGAAGGCGUCUAGCUAGAACGAGUUUGACGGUGAGGGACGAAGCCCUGGGGCGCAAACGGGAUUAGAUACCCCGGUAGUCCAGGGUGUAAACGCUGCUCGCUUGAUGUUAGUCGGGCUCCGAGCCCAACUAGUGCCGGAGAGAAGUUGUUAAGCGAGCUACCUGGGGAGUACGGUCGCAAGACUGAAACUUAAAGGAAUUGGCGGGGGAGCACCGCAACGGGUGGAGCGUGCGGUUUAAUUGGAUUCAACGCCGGG
This 915-nucleotide ribosomal RNA is filed under the name uncultured archaeon. RNAcentral describes it as "bacterial SSU rRNA". It matches the Rfam family "Archaeal small subunit ribosomal RNA", at positions 1 to 922 of the family's 1478-position model. The record is from RNAcentral.